Molecule: long non-coding RNA, 940 nt
Filed under: Orbicella faveolata
Lineage: Eukaryota; Metazoa; Cnidaria; Anthozoa; Scleractinia; Merulinidae
Description: uncharacterized LOC110057969, transcript variant X1
Source: RNAcentral
CCUCAGAGGAGGUUGGUCACGCGCCGAACUGCAUUUUGGGUAAAUAUCACACUGUGCUUCAGUUUACACGUUCUCUCAUGCUGUUCGGAUCUCUGGAAAGGCGACUGAAGAUCCGUUAAAAGCUGCUCCUCAACUCCUUGGAUUACCUUACCUACGCACGAUGAUCGAUAAAGACUAGGAAAACGUGGGGGUUUUUUGCGAUCGAGUCCCAGAGUGAAGAUAUCUGUCACGUGACGAGACCAUAAUCAAACAUGUCGAAAUGAACGUCGAAGCCCUUUAUAACUUUCCUUUAUGGCUAUUCAGUUGGCCAGUUAAACCACUAAAACUACUGGAAAAAUUGGGCCAAUAAUAUUGUUAUUUGUCACGACUGACGUAUGGAACAUUACUAAAGUUUAUCAAAUCUUCAUCUUUGACAAGACUGGCACAGUGCUGUGAAGUCACAGCACGGUGACUUCACGGUGACUUCACGUCAGGGCUCUCUCUGGAUAGAAUUCACUGCAAGAGGGCAAUGCCUGCUCCAGAUCAGAAGGAGGUUCUGUGCAUUGAAUUGGCUUACUAAACCUCUGCCCUAGUGGGACUUUGGAGUGCUCAACUGGCUCUCUCUGGCAUGUUAAACACCUGCAGCAUAGUGCUUUCCUCCGCAGAAUCUGGUCCAUCGCUGCACAAAAGAGGCUGUUUAUCUAGAAAAAAAUAAUUUUUAUCUCGGUUUACAACAAAGACUAACGAUUGAACUUCUUCCACGUAAUACAUGAGACAAUAGCCACAUAAAGAGUGUUGACUUAGGAGGAAUAAUUUAUAACAUUACUAGAGGCUUUGUAGCUUAGGCAGUUUUCCUGCAAUAAUUUCACUCGUCCUAUUUCUCUACAAAGAGAUAUGGGUUUGCAGUGUACCUUCAUCUUGCUCAACGGCUUCCUUUCUGGGUCUGCAUAUUUUUCCAAUC